This 527-nucleotide ribosomal RNA is filed under the name uncultured bacterium. RNAcentral's name for it is "bacterial SSU rRNA". It matches the Rfam family "Bacterial small subunit ribosomal RNA", at positions 355 to 896 of the family's 1533-position model. The record is from RNAcentral.
UGAGGAAUAUUGCUCAAUGGGCGAAAGCCUGAAGCAGCAACGCCGCGUGGAGGAUGAAGGCCUUCGGGUUGUAAACUCCUUUUCUGGGAGAAGAGACAAGGACGGUAUCCUAGGAAUAAGUCUCGGCUAACUACGUGCCAGCAGCCGCGGUAAAACGUAGGAGGCUAGCGUUAUCCGGAUUUACUGGGCGUAAAGCGCACGCAGGCGGUUGUGUAAGUCGGACGUGAAAUCUCUCGGCUCAACUGAGAGGAGUCGUUCGAUACUGCGCAACUUGAGGUUGGGAGAGGGAAGCGGAAUUCCCGGUGUAGUGGUGGAAUGCGUAGAUAUCGGGAGGAACACCAGUGGCGAAAGCGGCUUCCUGGCCCACACCUGACGCUCAUGUGCGAAAGCGUGGGGAGCGAACGGGAUUAGAUACCCCGGUAGUCCACGCUGUAAACGAUGCAAACUAGGUGUUGGUGGUAUUGACCCCAUCAGUGCCGAAGCUAACGCGAUAAGUUUGCCGCCUGGGGACUACGGCCGCAAGGCUA